This is a long non-coding RNA of Thunnus maccoyii (southern bluefin tuna), 1161 nucleotides long. RefSeq lists it as uncharacterized. NCBI's taxonomy places the organism in Eukaryota, Metazoa, Chordata, Actinopteri, Scombriformes, Scombridae. The transcript has 2 exons. The record is from RefSeq and is a predicted model, not a curated record.
UGCACCGAAAGCAAACAUCAUCAUCAUUCAUAAUCUGCAUAUUUGCUUGCUGAUGUUAAAGAGUAUUGGGAAAAUAACACAUUCCUACACAUAAGUGCUUCACAAAAAGGCAGAUUCCCACAUCCCCUGGUGGAUUUAACAGGCUGGGAAAAUUGAAUUGGGGGUGACCACCAGGCGUGGACCCCUACUCUCCUUUUCCUUACACCCGCUCUCCUCCCUCUCCCCACAGCAGGAGCUGCCAUGCAGAGCGAGCUAGCCAUCCAUGAGCUGGGCAGUGGCCUUGUCUAAAUUGGCAUCCGGCCCGGUGAGACUGGCGGAAACCUUCCAUGUGUGGCCCUUUCUGAGGGGUUACAGUUAGACGAAGGACUGUGGUGUGUGUGGGGUGGAAGUGACGGCAGUUUGAGAGUGGACUGGAUCGAGGAUUAAAGGGGACAUAUCGUGCACAUUUCCAGAUACAGACACACGCCUCUUAUCUAUGAAACGUCUUUGAGCAAGGUCAGCGGCAGCACUGAGGAAGGGAAUACGUCGAACGCAACAAAAGAUGGGAGGAAGAAGAGGAGGAGGUCCCCGGGCCUCCCACAGGGGGGUCUCAACUACCCCUCUCCCUCCUCUCACCAACCCCGCUCUGCCCCCACCUCACUUCCCUCCAAAAUCCCUGUGGAGGAGUCGCUCCCCGUGGCGGGACAAAGCCUGACAAGCCAGACGUGCCGCACCUCAAACACGAUUUUGAACCCCGGACACAAAAACACUCCCGAACAUAUCAAAACAUAUUUUUUUCCCCUCUUCAUCUCCACAUCUCAACACAUAAAUCCAUGUGUUUUUGUUUAUCGGGAUCUCAGUGUGUUUGGGAACAUACUGUAGCUUAUUCAUCAUGUAUACAUUACAAAAGCCAAAUGAAACCUUUAUUUUUUUCCCCUUUUUCUUUUAUUUUAUUGCCUUCAAACACAUGAAGGACACAGAAUGUACUACUGCUAAGGGCCAAAUGUAAAGAAACAGACACCAAGUCUGAAAAAAAACAGUCUAGUUCACCUCCUUAAAGCUAAUGAAACAGAGUUUUGGUUGAAUUUGGAGAGGUUUUGAGAUCUCUGCCACUGAGACUUCUGCUAAUGUCCCAGUAGCGAUGAGGUGAAAGGCAUUUUUGGCACAUUUUGGGUGCAAAAA